Molecule: non-coding RNA, 1292 nt
Organism: Paramuricea clavata
Lineage: Eukaryota; Metazoa; Cnidaria; Anthozoa; Malacalcyonacea; Plexauridae
Source: the annotation of a GenBank genome assembly
CAGCACUUUCCCCUUGACAAGUGAAAUUGUCUGGCGUUAGACAGAGUAAAAUAAUCUUGCGUUUAAUCAAGCAGCUACUUUUUCAAAAGCUCAACCAGGCUAAAGAUUCUUUGAUUUGAAAACCAAAGUGAUAGUGAACUAGUUAGUUGAAACAAACAGAAUUGUUUGAUUUAUUUACUUCCCACAACAUUGACAAUUAAAAUUUAAUUUGAUACUUUUCCAGUAUAUUGACAUUAUAUAGGUUCAGAUUUGACUACCAUUACCAUUAAGGGACCAUCAACCAAUCAAAUGCAUUUGAUAUAUUCGAUCAACCAUUAUAAUGAAAGUGUGAGUUUAUUCAUAAACUAAUUAUAAAUCAACUUCCAUGCAAUGCUUCAUGCAAUCAUCUAGUUAUGCACCAGUCAAUGUAAAUCCCUGCCCCCAACCGGGGAGGGGCGAAAGGUUUAGCAGGGAAAGUAGUCAGUUUUGAUUAUAAAUUUGUCCCCGAUGAUGGGAGACUUGGACAGUGGUUAACAUAUAUAUCCUGUGUUGCUGUUUUAGUUUUGACAAGAAAAGUUUAAAUACAACAACAUAAAUGAAUUUGAUUUUCUAUUGCUGAUCUAUGAUUAUACAAAACUAUUUUCCUGGGGUUGAGAGACAUGCAGGGGACAUCAGGGUCUUAGCUAGGAUUUUAGAUCUUGGGUGUGUUUCUAAAUUACCAGGGUGUGCACAUGUCAAUUACCUUGCAUAGCCAAUUUUACGGUUCUACAACAACGGACAAUGCCUAUGGUUGUUCUAUGCUUUGCAACCAAAUACAAGGCAAGCAUAUACUCAUUUUGCUCACUGACAUUAAAAUAUUAAGUUAUUUCAGCAACUCUUGGGGGUAUUUAAAACCAUUUUAACACCAUACAGUUCCCAUUAUCCAUCAAAACAUUAAAACAUCACAGAUCACUUUUGCCAAUUUCAACAACAACAGAUUUUACAAACUUUCUUAUAACGUAAAUAGAAAUAAACUCUGUCUGUUGCAAGUAGCACAUCUUAUUUUAUGAACAUACACGGCCUUAUAUAAAUAAUGAAGCCGCGUUCAUUUUAUCUAGCCGUGUUUUUCCAUUUUUGGCCGUGAUAACACGGCUAACACGGCCCUCUAGCUAAGACCCUGGGGGACAUUGAUGUCCCUGGGGGUGGGGACAAUUUCUCUCUUUUACUACCCCUCCAAGUCAAAAUCCCUGCCCCUCCCUGGUUGGGGGGUUUACAUUAACUGGUGCAUUAAUUAAAGAAGUGUCAGUGCCACAUAUGUAGUAAAAGCCAACUUG